Non-coding RNA from Anguilla anguilla (European eel), 798 nucleotides. The record is from the annotation of a RefSeq genome assembly. Lineage: Eukaryota; Metazoa; Chordata; Actinopteri; Anguilliformes; Anguillidae.
UUGAACUUUUGUUGUUGCUACUUUUCACCCUGGCCUGUGUCCAGUGUCAGUCUCAACAGAAGGUCUCUCAGUGGCCCUCACAGAUGGUCGUGACCCAGGGCUCCUCUGUGGAGCUCCAGUGCAGUCAGAGCAGCUCCGACCAGAACAUGUACUGGUACCGCCAGCAGAGCUCUACAGGGCUACACCUCGUCAUAUUUUCUGUCUACAUGAGUACACCAGAGAAGGGAGAGAACAUCGGUGAUAGAUUUACCAGCACAAGACUGAAAAUGGAGAAUAUCUCUCUCACUAUCAGUCAGGCUGAGGAGUCAGACACAGCAUUUGUAAAGGGAGCUGAUGUCACCCAGACACCCAAGCAGGCUGUGAUGAAGACUGGGGAUUCAGUUGAGAUCUCCUGCUCUCACAAGGACAACAGUUUACAGUAUUUAUACUGGUACUGGCAGCUGCCUGGCAAAGGCAUCGAAUUGAUCGCAUACAUCCUCACAAAUCAGAAGGCAACAUUUGAAAAAGACUUCAAUGACAGGACAGAAAGAUAUGAAAUAAAGAAGCCAGAGGUACUCUCUGGAUCAUUCGGGAUCAAAGUCCUGCAGAUAUCAGACAGUGCUGUAUACUUCUGUGCAGCGACUCAGCACAGUGGGGCAGUAUUGCCUGUCCGAUGAACAAAAAGUCAUGCGGGGAGACAGCCUACCAGUAGGGGGAGCCAAUGAUUAUGUUUUAUUGUAAGCUUCAGUAAGAAGUUUGUUGAAAUAUAGAAGUGUGAACUUUCACAGCAUGGUGCCUAGUUGGAGCUCAGAAAGCGAU